UCUCUGUGACAUCUCCAAAUGGAGGACUGGUCAGGGUUCCUGAUUGUGCAGAGAUCAUCAAGGGUUACAGCUUCAUCCUCACCUGCACAAAUAAUGAACACUAUCCUGGAGGAGUUUUCAAUCUCAUCCUCUAUGGCUCCAAUGUGAAACACACCAAACUCACCAAGCCAUCUGUCAACAACUCAGCCUCCUUUAGUUUCCCUGUAGCUGACUUUGAACAUGAGGGCGAGUACAGCUGUGUGUAUGAGAUAACUCUGUCAGGAGGGACAUUCACUUCACCUGAAGAUUGGCUUUAUGUUUCUGUGAUAUAUUCAAGAACUCCAAUCCUGAGAUAUGUUUUCCUGCCACUAAUUCUGCUUUUGGAGAACAUUGCCCUUCAUUUCUACUAUAAGGUCAUCAAAAAGCAGAAAUCAGACAAAAAGCAGAACGAUGAGACGGAUGUUUCCAAAGCUGAAGAAGUGGAGGCCGAGGAGGAAGCAGUCCAAGAAAUAGAAUAGAAACAUAUAGAAACACACACAAGUCUAAAUUUUUGUUGGAAUUUAGA
Oreochromis niloticus (Nile tilapia) is the source of this 544-nucleotide long non-coding RNA. RefSeq lists it as uncharacterized. The transcript is spliced from 3 exons. Lineage: Eukaryota; Metazoa; Chordata; Actinopteri; Cichliformes; Cichlidae. The record is from RefSeq and is a predicted model, not a curated record.